RNAcentral lists this small nuclear RNA (138 nucleotides) under Betta splendens (Siamese fighting fish). Its description in RNAcentral is "U4 spliceosomal RNA (ENSBSLG00000005862.1)". It matches the Rfam family "U4 spliceosomal RNA". Rfam says of the family: U4 small nuclear RNA (U4 snRNA) is a component of the major U2-dependent spliceosome. The structure of U4 snRNA from yeast and human has been reported. Lineage: Eukaryota; Metazoa; Chordata; Actinopteri; Anabantiformes; Osphronemidae. The record is from Rfam by way of RNAcentral.
AUUCUUUCGCAGUGGCAGUAUUGUAGCCUAUGAGGUUUAUCCAAGGCGCGAUUAUUGCUAGUUGAAAACUUUACCCAAUACCCCGCCUUGAUGACUUGACCUGGUCGGCUAUGGCAAUUCCGCAAUACCACUUACAGU